ACCUACCACUCGUACACUGCAGUUCUCGCGCGCUGUUUAUAGCCGGCUGAAGACUGCUCGCUACGUGUUGUCAGCC
RNAcentral lists this small RNA (76 nucleotides) under Xanthomonas vasicola. Its description in RNAcentral is "sX9 sRNA". It matches the Rfam family "Xanthomonas sRNA sX9". The record is from RNAcentral. RNAcentral also lists the same sequence under 11 other names. Lineage: Bacteria; Pseudomonadati; Pseudomonadota; Gammaproteobacteria; Lysobacterales; Lysobacteraceae.